GAUGAAGAACGCAGCGAAAUGCGAUAAGUAAUGUGAAUUGCAGAAUUCAGUGAAUCAUCGAAUCUUUGAACGCACCUUGCACUCCUUGGUAUUCCGAGGAGUACGCCUGUUCGAGUGUUAUGAAGCUCUCAAAACGCAAUUGGCUUAAAACCUGAUUGUUGUUUUGGAUUUGAACUUUGCCGUGUUAUAACGGCUGGUUUUAAAAGUAUUAGCUGGUACUAGAACGAAUUGGUUCUACUCAACGUGAUAAUUAUCUGAUCGUUGAGGACAUUCCUUUCACGAGGAAUGGCCAUAGUAAAUUCAAUGGACUGCUUCUAAUCUGGCUAUAAUUCUUUAUUGGAUUAACCACUUUUCAAAUCUGACCUCGAAUCAGGUGGGACUACCCGCUGAACUUAAGCAUAUCAAUAAGCGGAGGA
This 416-nucleotide unclassified non-coding RNA is filed under the name soil metagenome. Its description in RNAcentral is "partial contains 5.8S ribosomal RNA, internal transcribed spacer 2, and large subunit ribosomal RNA". The stretch from base 1 to 120 matches the Rfam family "5.8S ribosomal RNA", at positions 35 to 154 of the family's 154-position model. The record is from RNAcentral.